UACGUAGGAUGCAAGCGUUGUCCGGAUUUAUUGGGUUUAAAGGGUGCGUAGGCGGCUUAUUAAGUUAGUGGUGAAAACGUACGCCUUAACCGGAUACCCGCCAUUGAUACUGAUAGACUUGAGUGCGACAGAGGGUGUUGGAAUGUGUGGUGUAGCGGUGAAAUGCUUAGAUAUCACGCAGAACACCAAUUGCGAAGGCAGAUGCCUAUGUCGUAACUGACGCUGAGGCACGAAAGCGUGGGGAGCAAACAGG
Molecule: ribosomal RNA, 253 nt
Filed under: uncultured bacterium
Lineage: Bacteria
Description: partial 16S ribosomal RNA
Rfam family: Bacterial small subunit ribosomal RNA
Source: RNAcentral